UGGGGAAUUUUGGACAAUGGGGGAAACCCUGAUCCAGCCAUCCCGCGUGUGCGAUGAAGGCCUUCGGGUUGUAAAGCACUUUUGGCAGGAAAGAAACGUCGCGGGUUAAUACCCCGCGAAACUGACGGUACCUGCAGAAUAAGCACCGGCUAACUACGUGCCAGCAGCCGCGGUAAUACGUAGGGUGCAAGCGUUAAUCGGAAUUACUGGGCGUAAAGCGUGCGCAGGCGGUUCGGAAAGAAAGAUGUGAAAUCCCAGAGCUUAACUUUGGAACUGCAUUUUUAACUACCGGGCUAGAGUGUGUCAGAGGGAGGUGGAAUUCCGCGUGUAGCAGUGAGAUGCGUAGAUAUGCGGAGGAACACCGAUGGCGAAGGCAACCUCCUGGGAUAACACUGACGCUCAUGCACGAAAGCGUGGGGAGCAAACAGGAUUAGAUACCCCUGGUAGUCCACGCCCUAAACGAUGUCAACUAGCUGUUGGGGUCUUCGGGCCUUGGUAGCGCAGCUAACGCGUGAAGUUGACCGCCUGGGGAGUACGGUCGCAAG
This 545-nucleotide ribosomal RNA is filed under the name uncultured bacterium. Its description in RNAcentral is "partial 16S ribosomal RNA". It matches the Rfam family "Bacterial small subunit ribosomal RNA", at positions 355 to 892 of the family's 1533-position model. The record is from RNAcentral.